CAAUCUAGAAAAUGCCGCUGCACGUCCACUGAUCGUCAUUUCGUAUGACGUCAUCUGCAUGCCACUUAAAGACUAUAUAACGAGAGGACGACAGCAGAUUUCAUCUCAUUUAUCUCAUUGAAGCGGACCGUACAAGUGUCACAGAUUUUUAUAAAGAUGAGACAUCUACUUGUUUUAUUGUUUAUCGUCAGUAUAAGUUGUGUGACGGUGGCUGAUGUGAAGAACGAUGGAGUCACAACUAAACCUGAUCACAUUGAUGAAGGUAACCUACCUGACUUGAGAAUCCCCUUUAUCCUGUCGGCAUCCAAAAUCCAGAUGUCGUACCACGGCGAAUCAACCACGAAGGCUUAAAAUACUAAGGUUUCACCAUAAUCUGUCUCUGUCAAAUAUUAAUUUAUUUAUUUAGUAGAAAAAACAUGCAUCAUUUUGCAGCUUAAGACAAUGCUAAAUUAAUUAUAAUGUUAUCGGCUUACUCACGUAAUUGUUUGACGAGGAACCCGACUAGUUUCAAGCCAUGCUAGAGGCCCAUAUUCAUGAGCAGCAUUCCGCGACACUAGUCGAAACAAGUGACAAUUACGUGAGUAAGCUGAUAACAUAAUAAUUAAUUAAGACAAUGAAUGCAUUAUAUAGUUAAAGUGAUAUAAAAUACUUGUAAUAAUGUAAUUUUCGAUUGGACAAAAAAAAUACAAUAAUUAUGUAGUGCCUUGUGCACGCUAGACACCUUACGAUUUAACUGUGCAGUUUUAACUGUACAGUUUAACUGUGUCGUAAGGCAUGUAGACAUUAGUCCGCUCUCACGAUACAUACCCACGGGAAGAGGAGGGGUGGUCCCAAAAAUGUGUACUACUCUACGUCGCCACACGUCUAGCUAGUUGGUAAGACCUAUAUUAAACAGUUUCUUGCUGAGUAUGUGCUAUGUAUGUACCUACAUAUAUGAAGUAUGUAAUGUAAAGAAGGUAUUUUAAUAAAGAAUUUUCCUUAAGCAAAA
Molecule: long non-coding RNA, 988 nt
Organism: Spodoptera frugiperda (fall armyworm)
Lineage: Eukaryota; Metazoa; Arthropoda; Insecta; Lepidoptera; Noctuidae
Exons: 2
Source: RefSeq, a predicted model, not a curated record